GAUGAAGAACGUAGCGAAAUGCGAUAAGUAGUGUGAAUUGCAGAAUUCCGUGAAUCAUCGAAUCUUUGAACGCACAUUGCGCCUUCUGGUAUUCCGGAAGGCAUGCCUGUUCGAGAGUCAUUAACAACCGUUUCGAUCCCUUUCUUUCAGAAAUUACAAAGAGGAAAAGGGUUUGGUUAUGGUGGAGGAGGGAAAGGGAGCGUUUAGCCUGUAAAAAAAGAGGCUGUGUUCCGCCUCCCCCCCAAAAUUGUACAGGCGGUCGUGUGCGCCCACGCAUCGAGGUGGUGUAAAAGCUGCCACGGCACUUUUCACCUGUGCAGUGCGAGAUUGGCCAGCCGGUUUAAAAACCCCUCCAAACAAUCAAAGGUUGACCUCGGAUCAGGUAGGGAUACCCGCUGAACUUAAGCAUAUCAAUAAGCGGAGGA
RNAcentral lists this unclassified non-coding RNA (425 nucleotides) under soil metagenome. Its description in RNAcentral is "partial contains 5.8S ribosomal RNA, internal transcribed spacer 2, and large subunit ribosomal RNA". The stretch from base 1 to 120 matches the Rfam family "5.8S ribosomal RNA", at positions 35 to 154 of the family's 154-position model. The record is from RNAcentral.